CCUACAUCCUGGAACCUGGAGAGUACCCCACCUCAGAGGCCUGGGGCACAUCGGACCCUAGCGUGGGCUCCCUGAAGCCCAUGAGAUUGGGCUGCCCAAGUGUGGAGAAGCCAGGGGAGCCCAGGGCUGUGGUGUAUGAGGCCCCAGGCUUUCAGGGCCGCAGCUGGGAAGUGAGCCGAGACAUCUACAACCUUCAGCAGCCAGAGGACAGCCAGAGCCCCCACCUGGCCUCUGUGGGGUCCCUGAGAGUUCUUGGGGGCUGCUGGGUGGGCUACGAGAAGGAGGGCUUCCGGGGCCACCAGUAUCUGCUGGAGGAGGGGGAAUACCCAGACUGGUCACACUGGGGAGGCUAUGACGAGUUGCUGACCUCCCUCCGGGUCAUCCGGACGGACUUCGGGGACCCGGCCGUCGUGCUAUUUGAGGCCAUGGACUUCGAGGGGCACGGCGUGGAGGUGAGCAAGGCAUUGCCGGAUGUGGAGCUGGUGCAACACGGCCCCAGCACACAGGCCAUCCACGUGCUCAGUGGCGUGUGGGUGGCCUACCAGGAGGUGGGCUUCUCCGGGGAACAGUACGUGCUGGAGAAGGGCGUGUACCGUAACUGCGAGGACUGGGGUGCUGGCAACAGCGCCCUCGCCUCGCUGCAGCCGGUCCUACAGGUGCGUGCCGGCCGCGGGGGGCGGGGCCUCCCCGGUGGCGGGACCUGGAGUUCGGGUGCGCCCCGCCCACACGCAGAGGUAGAGGGCUGGAGGACCUGCCUGGGCGCUUGGGGCGGGGCCUUGGAAGGGGGCGGGGCCGA
Molecule: small RNA, 796 nt
Filed under: Pongo abelii (Sumatran orangutan)
Lineage: Eukaryota; Metazoa; Chordata; Mammalia; Primates; Hominidae
Description: processed transcript
Source: RNAcentral